UACAGAGGUGGCAAGCGUUGUUCGGAAUUACUGGGCGUAAAGCGUGCGCAGGCGGUUUUGUAAGCCAGAUGUGAAAUCCCCGGGCUUAACCUGGGAAUGGCAUUUGGGACUGCAAGGCUGGAGUUUGGCAGAGGAGACUGGAAUUCCUGGUGUAGCAGUGAAAUGCGUAGAUAUCAGGAGGAAUACCGAUGGCGAAGGCAGGUCUCUGGGCUAUAACUGACGCUCAUGCACGAAAGCGUGGGGAGCAAACAGG
This 253-nucleotide ribosomal RNA is filed under the name uncultured bacterium. Its description in RNAcentral is "partial 16S ribosomal RNA". It matches the Rfam family "Bacterial small subunit ribosomal RNA", at positions 524 to 776 of the family's 1533-position model. The record is from RNAcentral.